ACUCAAAGGAAUAGACGGGGGCCCGCACAAGCGGUGGAGUAUGCGGUUUAAUUCGAGGCAACGCGAAGAACCUUACCCGGGCUUGACAUCACCGAAAGGAUCCAUGCUUACUGGAAACAGUAAGAUUAGGAAGACAGGUGUUGCAUGGCUGUCGUCAGCUCGUGUCGUGAGAUGUUGGGUUAAGUCCCGCAACGAGCGCAACCCUUAUCGCCAGUUACCAUCGGUCCGGCCGGGGACUCUGGCGAAACUGCCGCCGACAAGGUGGAGGAAGGUGGGGAUGACGUCAAGUCAGCAUGGCCCUUACGUCCGGGGCUACACGCGUACUACAAUGGUCGGUACAGUGGGGAGCAAGACCGCAAGGUGGAGCGAAUCCUCAAAACCGACCUCAGUUCAGAUUGGGGUCUGCAACCCGACCCCAUGAAGGCGGAAUCGCUAGUAAUCGUAGAUCAGCAUGCUACGGUGAAUACGUUCCCGGGCCUUGUACACACCGCCCGU
This 495-nucleotide ribosomal RNA is filed under the name uncultured bacterium. RNAcentral describes it as "bacterial SSU rRNA". It matches the Rfam family "Bacterial small subunit ribosomal RNA", at positions 899 to 1397 of the family's 1533-position model. The record is from RNAcentral.